RNAcentral lists this ribosomal RNA (573 nucleotides) under Fusarium solani. Its description in RNAcentral is "eukaryotic LSU rRNA". The stretch from base 186 to 339 matches the Rfam family "5.8S ribosomal RNA". Lineage: Eukaryota; Fungi; Ascomycota; Sordariomycetes; Hypocreales; Nectriaceae. The record is from RNAcentral.
GGNNNNNGNUNGGGUGANCAGCGGAGGGAUCAUUACCGAGUUAUACAACUCAUCAACCCUGUGAACAUACCUAAAACGUUGCUUCGGCGGGAACAGACGGCCCUGUAACAACGGGCCGCCCCCGCCAGAGGACCCCUAACUCUGUUUUUAUAAUGUUUUUCUGAGUAAACAAGCAAAUAAAUUAAAACUUUCAACAACGGAUCUCUUGGCUCUGGCAUCGAUGAAGAACGCAGCGAAAUGCGAUAAGUAAUGUGAAUUGCAGAAUUCAGUGAAUCAUCGAAUCUUUGAACGCACAUUGCGCCCGCCAGUAUUCUGGCGGGCAUGCCUGUUCGAGCGUCAUUACAACCCUCAGGCCCCCGGGCCUGGCGUUGGGGAUCGGCGGAAGCCCCCUGUGGGCACACGCCGUCCCUCAAAUACAGUGGCGGUCCCGCCGCAGCUUCCAUUGCGUAGUAGCUAACACCUCGCAACUGGAGAGCGGCGCGGCCAUGCCGUAAAACACCCAACUUCUGAAUGUUGACCUCGAAUCAGGUAGGAAUACCCGCUGAACUUAAGCAUAUCAAUAGGCCGGAGGAA